GUCCACGCUGUAAACUAUGAGAACUAGAUGUUAGGGGGCAUGACCUCUUAGUAUCGUAGCAAACGCGAUAAGUUCUCCGCCUGGGGAGUACGGCCGCAAGGUUAAAACUCAAAGGAAUUGACGGGGGCCCGCACAAGCGGUGGAGCAUGUGGUUUAAUUCGAUGCAACGCGAAGAACAUUACCUACCUUUGAAUCCACGGAAUUUUGCAGAGAUGCAGAAGUGCCUUCGGGAACCGUGAGACAGGUGCUGCAUGGCUGUCGU
This 262-nucleotide ribosomal RNA is filed under the name uncultured bacterium. RNAcentral describes it as "partial 16S ribosomal RNA". It matches the Rfam family "Bacterial small subunit ribosomal RNA", at positions 793 to 1055 of the family's 1533-position model. The record is from RNAcentral.